This is a long non-coding RNA of Penaeus monodon (black tiger shrimp), 279 nucleotides long. RefSeq lists it as uncharacterized. Lineage: Eukaryota; Metazoa; Arthropoda; Malacostraca; Decapoda; Penaeidae. The transcript is spliced from 2 exons. The record is from RefSeq and is a predicted model, not a curated record.
CUCGAGUCACGAUCCUACUCGGACGCUGCCUCCUCCCGAGGGCCACCCACCAGGGGCCCCGCAUAACUGGGGCUUUGCUGCCCGGGUCCCUACCACUGCACUAACCUCCGUCUACGCUACGCUGCCACGAAUAUUCUGUCAAUAAAUUCACACAGCAGACCGUGCGUUUAAGUCCACAAACUUUGACAAGUUGGUGGGCAGCAGUGGAUAACAAGUACCUGACAUUCACGAGUUCCUGGAGUUCCCGGGAACGGAGCAAAUAAACAGCGUUAACUGUAA